GUCUACAGUCAUGCUACCCUGAACAUGCCUGAUCCCGUCUUAUCUCGGAAGCUAAGCAGGGUCAGGCCUGCUUAGUACUUGGAUGGGAGACCACCUAGGAAAACCAGGUGCUGUAGGCG
RNAcentral lists this ribosomal RNA (119 nucleotides) under Pteropus alecto (black flying fox). The record is from RNAcentral. Lineage: Eukaryota; Metazoa; Chordata; Mammalia; Chiroptera; Pteropodidae.